UACGUAGGGGGCGAGCGUUAUCCGGAUUCACUGGGUGUAAAGGGAGCGUAGACGGCCAAGCAAGCCAGGGGUGAAAGCCCGGGGCCCAACCCCGGGACUGCCCUUGGAACUGCAUGGCUGGAGUGUCGGAGAGGCAGGCGGAAUUCCUAGUGUAGCGGUGAAAUGCGUAGAUAUUAGGAGGAACACCAGUGGCGAAGGCGGCCUGCUGGACGAUGACUGACGUUGAGGCUCGAAAGCGUGGGGAGCAAACAGG
RNAcentral lists this ribosomal RNA (253 nucleotides) under uncultured bacterium. Its description in RNAcentral is "partial 16S ribosomal RNA". It matches the Rfam family "Bacterial small subunit ribosomal RNA", at positions 524 to 776 of the family's 1533-position model. The record is from RNAcentral.